This 246-nucleotide ribosomal RNA is filed under the name uncultured bacterium. Its description in RNAcentral is "partial small subunit ribosomal RNA". It matches the Rfam family "Bacterial small subunit ribosomal RNA", at positions 26 to 285 of the family's 1533-position model. The record is from RNAcentral.
AGAAUCAACGCUGGCGGCGUGCCUAACACAUGCAAGUCGAUCGAGAAAGUGGAGCAAUCCAUGAGUAAAGAGGCGCACGGGUGAGUAACACGUGACUAACCUACCCUCGAGUGGGGAAUAAACCUGGGGAAACCCGGGCUAAUACCGCAUAAUACCCACGGGUCAAAGGAGCAAUUCGCUUGAGGAGGGGGUCGCGGCAGAUUAGUUAGUUGGCGGGGUAAUGGCCCACCAAGACGAUGAUCUGUA